Molecule: ribosomal RNA, 910 nt
Filed under: uncultured bacterium
Lineage: Bacteria
Description: bacterial SSU rRNA
Rfam family: Bacterial small subunit ribosomal RNA
Source: RNAcentral
ACGCUAGCGAUAGGCUUAACACAUGCAAGUCGAGGGGCAGCAUGGUCUUAGCUUGCUAAGACUGAUGGCGACCGGCGCACGGGUGCGUAACGCGUAUGCAACUUGCCUCACAGAGGGGGAUAACCCGUCGAAAGACGGACUAAUACCGCGUACACUCUAUGUUGGGCAUCCAAUGUAGAGGAAAUGAAAUUCGCUGUGAGAUAGGCAUGCGUCCCAUUAGCUAGUUGGUGAGGUAACGGCUCACCAAGGCGACGAUGGGUAGGGGAACUGAGAGGUUGAACCCCCACACUGGUACUGAGACACGGACCAGACUCCUACGGGAGGCAGCAGUGAGGAAUAUUGGUCAAUGGGCGAGAGCCUGAACCAGCCAAGUCGCGUGAAGGAUGACUGUCUUAUGGAUUGUAAACUUCUUUUAUACGGGAAUAACAAGAGUCACGUGUGACUCCCUGCAUGUACCGUAUGAAUAAGCAUCGGCUAACUCCGUGCCAGCAGCCGCGGUAAUACGGAGGAUGCGAGCGUUAUCCGGAUUUAUUGGGUUUAAAGGGUGCGUAGGCGGCCUGUUAAGUCAGCGGUGAAAUCUAGGAGCUUAACUCCUAAAUUGCCAUUGAUACUGGCGGGCUUGAGUGUAGAUGAGGUAGGCGGAAUGCGUGGUGUAGCGGUGGAAUGCAUAGAUAUCACGCAGAACUCCGAUUGCGAAGGCAGCUUACUAAGGUACAACUGACGCUGAAGCACGAAAGCGUGGGUAUCAAACAGGAUUAGAUACCCUGGUAGUCCACGCAGUAAACGAUGAUAACUGGGCGUAUGCGAUAUACAGUAUGCUCCUAAGCGAAAGCGUUAAGUUAUCCACCUGGGGAGUACGCCGGCAACGGUGAAACUCAAAGGAAUUGACGGGGGCCCGCGCAAGCGGAGG